Molecule: ribosomal RNA, 501 nt
Filed under: uncultured bacterium
Lineage: Bacteria
Description: partial 16S ribosomal RNA
Rfam family: Bacterial small subunit ribosomal RNA
Source: RNAcentral
AUUGAACGCUGGCGGCAGGCUUAACACAUGCAAGUCGAGCGGAGAUGAGGUGCUUGCACCUUAUCUUAGCGGCGGACGGGUGAGUAAUGCUUAGGAAUCUGCCUAUUAGUGGGGGACAACAUUCCGAAAGGAAUGCUAAUACCGCAUACGUCCUACGGGAGAAAGCAGGGGAUCUUCGGACCUUGCGCUAAUAGAUGAGCCUAAGUCGGAUUAGCUAGUUGGUGGGGUAAAGGCCUACCGAGGCGACGAUCUGUAGCGGGUCUGAGAGGAUGAUCCGCCACACUGGGACUGAGACACAGCCGAGACACCGACGGGAGGCAGCAGUGGGGAAUAUUGGACAAUGGGGGAAACCCUGAUCCAGCCAUGCGGCGUGUGUGAAGAAGGCCUUAUGGUUGUAAAGCACUUUAAGCGAGGAGGAGGCUACUGAGACUAAUACUCUUGGAUAGUGGACGUUACUCGCAGAAUAAGCACCGGCUAACUCUGUGCCAGCCGCCGCAGUAA